Molecule: transfer RNA, 68 nt
Filed under: Shewanella loihica PV-4
Lineage: Bacteria; Pseudomonadati; Pseudomonadota; Gammaproteobacteria; Alteromonadales; Shewanellaceae
Also listed under: 1 other name
Description: tRNA-Met (CAT) (tRNA-Met-CAT-2-1)
Source: RNAcentral
UUAGCUCAAUUUGGCGUGUUAGACUCAUAAUCGUUAGGUCCACAGUUCAAGUCUGUGAGGGGCCACCA